RNAcentral lists this ribosomal RNA (461 nucleotides) under uncultured bacterium. RNAcentral describes it as "bacterial SSU rRNA". It matches the Rfam family "Bacterial small subunit ribosomal RNA", at positions 36 to 518 of the family's 1533-position model. The record is from RNAcentral.
CUGGCGGCGUGCUUAACACAUGCAAGUCGAACGGGAGUAUUGAAGAAGCUUGCUUUAGAGAUACUUUAGUGGCGGACGGGUGAGUAACGCGUGAGGAGCUGUCCUAUGCAGGGGGACAACAGCUGGAAACGGCUGCUAAUACCCCAUAAGCCGAGAGGUAAAAGGAUCAAUCCGGCAGAGGAGGUACUCGCGUCCUAUCAGCUAGUAGGUGAGGUAACGGCUCACCUAGGCGAAGACGGGGUAGCCGGCCUGAGAGGGCGAACGGCCACACUGGAACUGAGAUACGGUCCAGACUCCUACGGGAGGCAGCAGUGGGGAAUAUUGGGCAAUGGGGGGAAACCCUGACCCAGCGACGCCGCGUGGGUGAAGAAAUCCUUCGGGAUGUAAAGCCCUGUUGUAUGGGAAGAGCGGAAGACGGUACCAUACGAGGAAGCCCCGGCAAACUACGUGCCAGCCGCCGC